This 805-nucleotide long non-coding RNA is filed under the name Sinocyclocheilus grahami. RNAcentral describes it as "lncRNA (ENSSGRG00000032394.1)". Lineage: Eukaryota; Metazoa; Chordata; Actinopteri; Cypriniformes; Cyprinidae. The record is from RNAcentral.
CCAGACUCUCCUGUCAGGAAGAAAAUUUCUUCAGACAAGCAGCAGGUCUUGAGGGCCCUCAAACUGAAAGAACUGAUGAAGCUGGAGAGGAAGAAAGAAAGAAUGGAGAAGAAGAGUAUACGGCAUAAACGUGAGCAUUGUAUUGAGCCAGAUCGUGACAAAAUGACCUUAGCUGACUUCAUUUACUACCUGCCAGAGUUAAACCCUAUGAAUCCUCCCUUUCCACAGAGGAGACUCAAACACAGAUCACUGCUCCACCAACUUCCACGUAAGUGAAAUUAAACCUAUAUUAUUAUUUUCAUAUGUGCAUAUGUGUCACAUCAAAGGAAUUGCUGUUUGUAUUUGGGGUUACUUAGUUUCAUAUUGCUAUGUACCAGUAGCGGGCCAUGCAUUUUAAACCUAUGCCUUCAGUGGCGUCCUGCAUGAAUUAAAUCCAUCUCUUCAUACCAUCAUAAUGAUGCCACGGCUAUAGAAACCAUAAAUAUUACACAGUAAUGCAGUAUAACAGGGCACUACAUAACAGACAGGUAUCUUAUGUAGUGAAAAUGAAUGCCAUUACUAAAGAAAACAACCUAAAUUAACAAUUGCACAACACAUCAUCUGUAGCUGAAGAAUUAACCUAACAAAAUGACACAAAUACAGUCCAUUCGAUGUUCUUACAGACAUUUAUUCACCCAAACGCAUUUAUACCUUAUAUACAGAUAGCAUUGGUAUAAAAGAAGUAAGGUGAUGUGUUUUAAAGUUGACCUAACAAUUUAAUGUUCUCUUACUGCNNNNNNNNNNGAAGAGAAGGUGAGAGAAAAUA